UGCCAGCAGCCGCGGUAAUACGGAGGGCGCAAGCGUUGUUCGGAAUCAUUGGGCGUAAAGCGCGUGUAGGCGGCUUGGCAAGUCGGACGUGAAAUCCCGGGGCCCAACCCCGGAACUGCGUUCGAAACUGCCUCGCUAGAGUCCCGGAGAGGAAGGCGGGAUUCCCGGUGUAGAGGUGAAAUUCGUAGAUAUCGGGAGGAACACCAGUGGCGAAGGCGGCCUUCUGGACGGUGACUGACGCUGAGGCGCGAAGGCGUGGGUAGCGAACGGGAUUAGAUAC
Molecule: ribosomal RNA, 280 nt
Filed under: uncultured bacterium
Lineage: Bacteria
Description: partial 16S ribosomal RNA
Rfam family: Bacterial small subunit ribosomal RNA
Source: RNAcentral